Molecule: transfer RNA, 73 nt
Filed under: Felis catus (domestic cat)
Lineage: Eukaryota; Metazoa; Chordata; Mammalia; Carnivora; Felidae
Also listed under: 2 other names
Rfam family: tRNA
About the family: Transfer RNA (tRNA) molecules are approximately 80 nucleotides in length. Their secondary structure includes four short double-helical elements and three loops (D, anti-codon, and T loops).
Source: Rfam by way of RNAcentral
GCCUGGCUGGCUCAGUAUUCAGAGCGUGUGAUUCUUGAUCUAAGGGUUGUGAGUUCAAGCCCCACGUUGGGUG